Long non-coding RNA from Equus caballus (horse), 1703 nucleotides. The record is from Ensembl. NCBI's taxonomy places the organism in Eukaryota, Metazoa, Chordata, Mammalia, Perissodactyla, Equidae.
UUUUUACCUUGCAUAAAGUUAGUAAGUAUCCAAGUCUGUUCUUUUCUUGAUUUAGUCUGAGCCUUUGAGUUUUUAUGAUUUUCCACCUUGACCACCUCUCCAGGAUUUCCCUCCCCAAAACCCCUGGCCCAUGCUUUCACUCAGGGUCAGAGGUUUUGGCUAUGGAUGAGAUCUUUCAGGUUCCUUUUCUUCUUCUGGUCUAAUUCUACAGCUGGGAGACAGCAGUGGCACUGAGUAGAGACUGUUCGUUAAGUAAGGAGCUAAGAGUGGGACACGUCCAGUAUUCAAUUUGUAUAGUAAUAAUACAUCAAGGAGAGAAUCACUCACACGUGGGAGGAAGACCUCCCAGAGGGCAGGGCUUCUCAGGUAUUUAUGAUUUCAGGACUUAGAAACAUGAAACACCGUGAGCAAAGUCAGGGGUGUCUAAUAUCACGGACCAGGACUUUCUGCUUCCUCUUAAGUCUUCUCAGAGAUCCAGAACCUGUCUCCUUAACUUUUCUUCUGACCCACACCCAAUUCAAGGCUCUUCUUCUGUGAAACACCUGAGCCAUCUUUAAGUCUCUUUUAAGGGGUUGGAUCAUGCCAGAGGAAGUGUCUCUCUGGCCACGCUACGUGGUCAGACCCAGCAGCUGAGGAGCAACAAGGACAAGCUCUUGAAGUAUCAGAGGAACAUAUCAGAUAGCAUCACAGCAGAGAAUGCCUCGCUGCCAAUUAUUUGUUAAGAGCCCAGGCACGGAAGGCUUUGUCAUCUUUAAUGGUUGCUCUAAGCAGCUCAAACACUCCAAGGGCUUCCUGUCUCACUCAGAAUUAAAUCCAAUCCCUUAUCUCCGUCUUCAAGGCUCUGCCUCACCCUUCCUGGCCACCCCUACCCCUCCAAGGAAAACCGCCUGACUUCUAACCUCAGAGAUUCAAACCUGAAGUUUCUAAAUUGUUUCAGGUAUUUAUAAUAAAUCAGGAAAUCUGCAUUUCUUUCAUCCUUUGAGAAAUCAGAUCCGGCAACAGUGGACGUGAGUCCUCUCGAGGCGGUGACCUGCGGAGGGGGAGCCGCUGUCCCUUAAGGAGGGCGUGGCCUCUCCAGGCCCACUUGGCUCACCUCAUUUGUCACCUGCCUGGUCCGCUGAUAUAAGAGCUUCCGAUAUUUGUAUUUUUCCAUCUUUUGAUUCCAAUUUCAAUGUCUUUAUACUUUUGACCGCCCAAGCCUUUUGCACAACAAGAUAGUAUUACAUAAAUAAAUAACUGUAUCAAGAAGGAAAAAAAAGAAGUAAAAAAAGCACUAUAUAUAUGCUUGGAUAAUAAGUAAUUCAACACAUGCGUGCAACAGAAAUGUUAACUAGAACAAGCACUAUCUGAGGAUUAACAGGAACCUUUUUUUGAAGAUUUCAAACAAAUUCGACUUUCAGUCUAACUGCUUAAUCUAAAGUAUUUCUACAAAGCUCAUCAGAGCCUCUAUUUGUCAUAGACUUUUGAGUUUAUUGUUGUGACCACAUAAGAGGACCAUUUUUUUGGUCUUUAAAUUGUUGUAGGGGCCUCCCCGUGGCCUGGUGGUUGAGUUCGGCACACUCUGCUUCAGCAACUGGGGUUGGCGGGUUCGGAUCCUGGACACAGACCUAUACCACUUGUUUGCCGUGCGGUAGCAAUGACCCACAUAUAAAAUAGAUGAAGACUGGCACAGAUGUGAGCUCAAAGCUAAUCCUCCUCAGGCA